AUACGGAGGGUGCAAGCGUUAAUCGGAAUUACUGGGCGUAAGGCGCACGUAGGCUGUAGUGUAAGUCAGGAGUGAAAUCCCCCGGCUUAACCGGGGAAUAGCUUUUGAUACUGGGUUUCUUGAGUUCAGGAGAGGGUGGCGGAAUUCCAGGUGUAGGAGUGAAAUCCGUAGAGAUCUGGAGGAACAUCAGUGGCGAGGGCAGCCACCUGGACUGAUACUGACGCUGAGGUGCGAAAGCGUGGGGAGC
Molecule: ribosomal RNA, 247 nt
Filed under: uncultured bacterium
Lineage: Bacteria
Description: partial 16S ribosomal RNA
Rfam family: Bacterial small subunit ribosomal RNA
Source: RNAcentral